Molecule: long non-coding RNA, 3529 nt
Filed under: Durio zibethinus
Lineage: Eukaryota; Viridiplantae; Streptophyta; Magnoliopsida; Malvales; Malvaceae
Description: long non-coding RNA (DZIB_LNC001959)
Source: RNAcentral
UUCAUGGAAAUUGGAUCCCUACCAUUGAUAUUGAGAAGCUUUAAGAAAUUUUCAUUUGAGACGUCCAAAAAUAUCCUAGUAAGUCAUUGAAGUCCUCUAUAAAUACAAUUGAGUGAAAUAUAAGACUUAAUCAAGCACGAAAUCAAUCUUUUUUUUUGUAAAUGAAGGCCUUCCUCGUUGUCUUCUUCCUUUUGAUUUAUGAAGUUUUAGGAGCUCCGAAUUCAUUUAUUGACGGUGAGAUGAUUAUUUUUUAAUUCAUUUUGCUUAAAAUAUAUAUAUUAUAUAAAACAAAUCGUAAUUUAAAAAUAAAAAAAUUAUAAAUAUUAAAGUUUGAAUCCAAAUUUACAAAAUAUCACAUGUUAAAAGAUAAUUUUAUGAUCCAUUUGAGCUAUAAAUCAUACAACCAAAACAACUAAUUUGUAUUAGUAGUUUAUACAUGGCGUUUAUCUUUAAAUAAUUUUAUUUUGAAGAAAUUCAUAAUUUACCCAUGGUGGAGUUUUGAUAUACAUAGUUCUUUUCCUUUUAUGUAGGUAAGAUUAAGAUUUCUAAAUUGUACAAAGUAGAACAAUUCAAUAAAUGCAACAUUAGUGUUCUCAUAUUUAUAAUUGUUUUAUAUAGAGGAGAAUUAAAACAAACCGUUUUGCCAUUAACAAAUUAUAUUUUCAAUUUUGAUUAGUAUUUAAAAAUUUUUUUAUCUCAUCUCAAUAAAGCUUUUAGACUAUAUCUAAGAGAUUAGAUAGUUGCCAUAUACCCUUAUACCCUUUUAGGAUAUAAUAAAAAAAUCUAAAAUUUUAUAUAAAAACUAAUAGGAGAUGUGGUAAUAUUCUAACACCUCUUGAAAAGUUUAAAGACUCUUACCUAUUUUUUUUCAUCCUAAUCCAAUUCUUAUUCGGAGUUGCAGGAUGUACAGGGGAUCCGUUCAACAGAGGUGAGACUUACUUUCUAAUCUAUUUUAUGCUUAUAUUUAUGUUAAUAUUGUAAGAAAUAUGAUUUUAUAUUAAUAUUUUAUGGCAGUCAGUUGCUUCCCGUCGACUUCUUUGCCUUUAUUUUUAUAUAUGAUUCUUUUCCAUUUAAGUAAUUAAGAUAAGAUAUAAGGACCACUAUUUUAACAUUUUUCUAUUUAUUCCUUUAUAUUACUGACCAAAAAAAAAUUACUCUAAGUUGUUGUAAUAAUUCAUCAAAUCUGAUAUUAACUUCAGAGAAUGGAUUAAUUUACAAAAUGUAAAAUUAAAAAAAUUUUACAUUUUUUUAACAAUUAAUUUUAAUAAAUUCAAAAAAUAAAAAGAUAAGUAAGAAAUUAAAAAAAUAAUUUAAUUUCAUCCCUUAAAUCUAUUGAAAUUAAUAACUAAAAAAUUAUAUAAAACUUUUUAAUUUUAUAUCUCCUCUUAAUUUUAUAUAUAUAUAUAUAUAUAUAUAUAACAAUAGUUAAAAGGAAAAUGAUGGAGUUUCUUUUCUCUGUCAUUCUUCUAAAAUUUUUAAACUUUUUUUAAAAACUUUUUUUUGGAUAAUAUUUGGCAUUUUGUAGAUCAAUUUCUUUUUAUUUUAUAUUUGAUGCGUUAAAUUUUUUUUUUGGGAAAGUACAACCUAGGAAAGAGUGACCUAUCCUUAUUAUUGGGAGAUCUAUAUUGUUUAUAAGUAGAGUAUUGAUAAAUAUCCCAAAGACUGAAAAAUAAAAAAUUUGAGAAAUUAUCUCAUCUCAAUAAAGUUUUUAGACUAUAUCAAAGAGAUUAGAUAGUUGCCACAUACCCUUUUAGGGUAUAAUAGAAAAAUCUAAAAUUUUAUAUAAAAGCUACUAGGAAAUGUGGUAAUAUUCUAACAACUCUUGAAAAGUGUAAAGACUCUUACCUAUUUUUUUUUAUCCUAAUCCAAUUCUUAUUUGGAGUUGCAGGAGGUAGAGGGGAUCCGUUCAAUAAAGGUGAGACUUACUUUCUAAUCUAUUUUAUGCUUAUAUUUAUGUUAAUAUUGUAAGAAAUAUGAUUUUUCAUUAAUAUUUUAUGGCAGUCAGUUGCUUCCCGUGUACUUCUUCGCCUUUAUUUUUAUAUGUGGUUCUUUUCCAUUUAAGUAAUUAAGAUAAGAUAUACGGACUACUAUUUUAACGUUUUUCUAUUUAUUCCUUUAUAUUACUGACCCAAAAAAAAUAUUACUCUAAGUGGUUGCAAUAAUUCAUUAAAUCUGAUAUUAACUUUAGAGAAUGGAUUAAUUUACAAAAUGUAAAAUUAAAAAAAUUUUACAUUUUUUUAACAAUUAAUUUUAAUAAAUUAAAAAAAUAAAAAGAUAAGUAAGAAAUUAAAAAACAAUUUAAUUUCAUCUCUUAAAUAUAUUGAAAUUAAUAACUAGAAAAUUAUAUAAAGCUUUUUAAUUUUAUAUCUCCUCUUAAUUUUAAAAAUAUAUAUAACAAUAGUUAAAAGGAAAUUUAUGGACUUUCUUUUCUCUGUCAUUCUUCUAAAACUUUUAAAUUUUUUUUAAGAAUUUUUUUGGAUGAUAUUUGGCAUUUUGUAGAUCAAUUUCUUUUGUCUUAAAUUUUAUUUUAUAUUUGAUGUAUUAAAAUUUUUUUUUGGGAAAGUACAGCCUAGAAAAGAGUGACCUAUCCUUAUUAUUGGCGGAUCUAUAUUGUUUAUAAGUAGAGUAUUCGUAAAUAUCCCAAAGAUUGAAAAAUAAAAAAUUUGAGAAAAAUUUGUUUUCCUAAACACCCUAAAUUAUUUUUUUGGAUAUCUUUUUUAUCAAUAGAAUUAGUAAACUCAUUAUAAUAAAAUUUGACAGUAUUAGAAAUAAUUCUUGAUCAAAUGAUUGUUUAAUUAUAUAUAUUGAGAAUGAUAUAUUUGAUAAUAUCAGAAAUGAUGCAAUUAUGUUUUUUUUUUUUUUUUAAAUAUGAGAACUCGUGUGACAACUAUAAUAAUAUAACAAAAUAUUAAUUAAAUUGUUGUUUACAAUUUUCUUAUAUAUAUUAUAAGUAAAUACUUAAAAAAUCUUUUAAAUCCGUCACCAAUUUUUAUUGAAUGAAUUUAAACAUAUUUUUUAGGUCAAAAUUUGCUUAUAUAUAUUUAUAUGAGUGUUUCCUCAAACUAGUAAUAAUUUUCUAUUCUAUUUUUCAUAUUUCCAGGACCAAAAAAGGCACCUGUUUCGCAAAUAAAGUGCUAUAGGAAUGGAAGGUUAGUUACAUGCAAUAUUCCUUCACUACCACCAGGGAAAGGAUGGCCUAAUCUGCAAUCGACAUGCCCUUGUUGCAUUGGAAAGAAAGUAUACGGUUGUCGCAGGCAAUAAUUCUCAUUAUAAAGAUAGCACAUAAUAUGGUGCAUGUGUUUUAUGGUUUGUAUUAAUUGCUACCUAUUGGUUUCUAUCUUUUUAGCAUUUUCAACUCGUUGGCUUGCUAGAAGUAUUUUCAGAUCGAAUUUGAAAUAGGUAAUCUUAAACCUUUUGAUUUUGCCUACAUCAUCCCAAGAUAACAACCUAUUUGUCCCUAUUUGUUGUUAUAUGGUGAACUUUGGUAAAUGUCACUGGAAUAAAUUUGGGUUAAAGGCAAGUUACAUAC